CAAUACCAUGCUGAAUAUACCGGUUCUCGUUAGAUCACCGAAGUCAAGCAUCAUUGGGCGCGGUCAGUACUUGGGUGGGUGACCACCUGGGAACACUGCGUGCCGUU
Non-coding RNA from Caerostris darwini, 107 nucleotides. The record is from the annotation of a GenBank genome assembly. Lineage: Eukaryota; Metazoa; Arthropoda; Arachnida; Araneae; Araneidae.